UACAGAGGGUGCAAGCGUUGUUCGGAAUUAUUGGGCGUAAAGGGCGCGUAGGCGGUGCGGUAAGUCUGUAGUGAAAUCUCUGGGCUCAACUCAGAGUCUGCUGCAGAAACUGCCGUGCUUGAGGGUGGGAGAGGUGCGUGGAAUUCCCGGUGUAGCGGUGAAAUGCGUAGAUAUUGGGAAGAACACCGGUGGCGAAGGCGGCCAACUGGACCACAACUGACGCUGAGGCGCGAAAGCGUGGGGAGCAAACAGG
RNAcentral lists this ribosomal RNA (253 nucleotides) under uncultured bacterium. RNAcentral's name for it is "partial 16S ribosomal RNA". It matches the Rfam family "Bacterial small subunit ribosomal RNA", at positions 524 to 776 of the family's 1533-position model. The record is from RNAcentral.